CACGGGGGGAGCAAGCGUUGUUCGGAAUCACUGGGCGUAAAGGGCGUGUAGGCGGUCGAGUAAGUGGAAUGUGAAAUACUCCGGCUCACCCGGAGCACUGCAUCCCAAACUGCUCGGCUUGAGUAUGGGAGAGGACAAGGGAAUUCCUGGUGUAGCGGUGAAAUGCGCAGAUAUCAGGAGGAACACCGGUGGCGAAGGCGGCUUGCUGGGCCAGUUCUGACGCUGAGGAGCGAAAGCGUGGGGAGCGAACAGG
Molecule: ribosomal RNA, 253 nt
Filed under: uncultured bacterium
Lineage: Bacteria
Description: partial 16S ribosomal RNA
Rfam family: Bacterial small subunit ribosomal RNA
Source: RNAcentral